This is a long non-coding RNA of Cyanistes caeruleus (blue tit), 564 nucleotides long. RefSeq lists it as uncharacterized. NCBI's taxonomy places the organism in Eukaryota, Metazoa, Chordata, Aves, Passeriformes, Paridae. The record is from RefSeq and is a predicted model, not a curated record.
CAAAGACCUUAUGACACCUGGCAGAGGGCAAGGCUGGCUGCCAGCAUCCCUCCUGCCCAGCAGGACCCUCCUGCCAGCCACCCUUCAGAGAAUUACUGCUAAUUGCAGCAAAGAGCUUCCUGCUCAGACUCCUGCCACUAACACACCUUCCUGAGCACUGCAAUCCUCUACCUGGCAGUAAACCCACCUCUCCCUCCUGGCACCACCAGCUGACUGAAUGCAAUAAGGACACGUGAGGCAGGUGGUGCAUUUAAAGCAGUCUUUGUGAAAGCAGAGCCCUUCCCUGACAAAGAUGUGGUAAGAACAGAAUUGUAGUGAGUGUCUACCACCAUGGUAGUGGUGGAUCCCUGAGUGCAUCCCUCCAGCUAAGCAGAACUCACCUGCACGACCCCUCUGCAUUGGGAGCAAGAUCCAGAAUAACCAUCUGUAUGUGUGGGGAGAUGCCUCGAGCUAAUCAUUGUAUGCUACCCCAUGGAGAAGUGUCUUUGAACUCCCAGAUUGUUCCAGUUUUCAGAAGCUCGAGGCAGGAAACAGGUCCGUGGGAUCCCACACCUGGAGCUCUCU